GAUGAACGCUAGCGACAGGCUUAACACAUGCAAGUCGAGGGGCAGCAUAGAAGUAGCAAUACUUUGGUGGCGACCGGCGCACGGGUGAGUAACGCGUAUGCAACCUACCUAUCAGAGGGGAAUAACCCGGCGAAAGUCGGACUAAUACCGCAUAAAACAGGGGCACCGCAUGGUGAUAUUUGUUAAAGAAAUUCGCUGAUAGAUGGGCAUGCGUUCCAUUAGGUAGUUGGUGAGGUAACGGCUCACCAAGCCGACGAUGGAUAGGGGAACUGAGAGGUUGGUCCCCCACACUGGUACUGAGACACGGACCAGACUCCUACGGGAGGCAGCAGUGAGGAAUAUUGGUCAAUGGGCGAGAGCCUGAACCAGCCAAGUCGCGUGAAGGAAGAAGGAUCUAUGGUUCGUAAACUUCUUUUGCAGGGGAAUAAAGUGCAGGACGUGUCCUGUUUUGUAUGUACCCUGAGAAUAAGGAUCGGCUAACUCCGUGCCAGCAGCCGCGGUAAUACGGAGGAUCCGAGCGUUAUCCGGAUUUAUUGGGUUUAAAGGGUGCGUAGGUGGUUUGAUAAGUCAGCGGUGAAAGUUUGCAGCUUAACUGUAAAAAUGCCGUUGAAACUGUCGGACUUGAGUGUAAAUGAGGUAGGCGGAAUGCGUGGUGUAGCGGUGAAAUGCAUAGAUAUCACGCAGAACUCCGAUUGCGAAGGCAGCUUACUAAGCUACAACUGACACUGAAGCACGAAAGCGUGGGGAUCAAACAGGAUUAGAUACCCUGGUAGUCCACGCAGUAAACGAUGAUUACUAGCUGUUUGCGAUACACAGUAAGCGGCACAGCGAAAGCGUUAAGUAAUCCACCUGGG
Molecule: ribosomal RNA, 854 nt
Filed under: uncultured Bacteroidales bacterium
Lineage: Bacteria; Pseudomonadati; Bacteroidota; Bacteroidia; Bacteroidales
Description: bacterial SSU rRNA
Rfam family: Bacterial small subunit ribosomal RNA
Source: RNAcentral